AGCUGAUUUACAUCUACGGUUUACUAAUACAGUACACACACACAUAAGAUCCUACCAAGCAUACAUUUGAAUUGAAUAUAUUAACUUUUUGGGCUUAGGCAGCAACAGGGCGACCGAAUCCACCACGGAAGGAAGGAGCAAAUCCACCGGGAGCAGCACCAUCAUCCUUCUUCUCGGCACGGCGGUAGCCAGCAUCAGCAGCAGAGCUACGCUCACGAGGCUCAGGACGGCCAGCACGGGGGGCAGCAGGACGAACUUGACGCUUGUGAGUAGCGGGCACAACCUCAGCGGGAAGGUGCAAAUACUCACGCAAGUAUUCAACACCCUCGUUGGUCAAGGUGUAGUAAAACCAUCCCCAAUUGUAGCGGGUCUUAAGAUAGCCGCGAGAAUCCAAGGAUUGACAAGCCUUAAUGACUUGCAAGUUGGGGACACCAACUUCGGGGUGCUUGGGGAGGUUGAAA
This is a non-coding RNA of Schizosaccharomyces pombe (fission yeast), 461 nucleotides long. The record is from the annotation of a GenBank genome assembly. NCBI's taxonomy places the organism in Eukaryota, Fungi, Ascomycota, Schizosaccharomycetes, Schizosaccharomycetales, Schizosaccharomycetaceae.